UACUCUCUGGCUUGCUAGAGAGGAAAGUGGCGCACGGGUGCGUAACGCGUAUGCAACCUACCUUAAUCAGGGGGAUAGCCCGAAGAAAUUCGGAUUAACACCGCAUAAAAUCACAGCACAGCAUUGUGCAAUGAUCAAAUAUUUAUAGGAUUAAGAUGGGCAUGCGUGUCAUUAGUUAGUUGGCGGGGUAACGGCCCACCAAGACCACGAUGACUAGGGGAUCUGAGAGGAUGACCCCCCACACUGGUACUGAGACACGGACCAGACUCCUACGGGAGGCAGCAGUAAGGAAUAUUGGUCAAUGGGGGCAACCCUGAACCAGCCAUGCCGCGUGCAGGAAGACAGCCCUCUGGGUCGUAAACUGCUUUUAUUCGGGAAUAAACCACAUUACGAGUAAUGUGCUGAAUGUACCGAAGGAAUAAGGAUCGGCUAACUCCGUGCCAGCAGCCGCGGUAAUACGGAGGAUCCAAGCGUUAUCCGGAUUUAUUGGGUUUAAAGGGUGCGUAGGCGGCUUUUUAAGUCAGGGGUGAAAGACGGUAGCUCAACUAUCGCAGUGCCCUUGAUACUGAAGAGCUUGAAUGGACUAGAGGUAGGCGGAAUGUGACAAGUAGCGGUGAAAUGCAUAGAUAUGUCACAGAACACCGAUUGCGAAGGCAGCUUACUAUGGUUUUAUUGACGCUGAGGCACGAAAGCGUGGGGAUCAAACAGGAUUAGAUACCCUGGUAGUCCACGCCCUAAACGAUGAAUACUCGCUGUUAGCGAUACACAGUUAGCGGCUAAGCGAAAG
Molecule: ribosomal RNA, 787 nt
Filed under: Pedobacter sp.
Lineage: Bacteria; Pseudomonadati; Bacteroidota; Sphingobacteriia; Sphingobacteriales; Sphingobacteriaceae
Description: bacterial SSU rRNA
Rfam family: Bacterial small subunit ribosomal RNA
Source: RNAcentral